AGUUUCUUCUUAGAUAAUUGAAGUUAUUAUUACCCCUGGUCUCGUCGAUGCAUCCAACCAGACUUCUUACAUUAUUUGUUACAUAAUCAUGAAACAACAAUCUCAACAGAAUAAGGAAGAUACCAAAGCAACAAGAUCAACCAACACCAGACGAUAGUAAUAUGGCAUCCAAGACUACUCUAUAAACUAAGAAGCCUAGCACUUGCACGCCAUCCAAACUGGGUUAUAGACUCCCUGUUAAUCUGUUCGAGCCACUUGGUGCCAAGCUUCAUGGAUUCCUUGUAUUGCUCCUUUUGUAACAAUGCCCAUGACCAACAACCAACUGGUACACCAGAGUAGCACCUGCAUACACGAGUGAUUUUUUUUUGUCAACGUCAUUCCUGCAUGGCCAAAUUGGAAGGAGUACGUAAGAGAGAUCUGAAGGAUUGGAAUAUCACCAAAGAACUAGCCAUGGACAUGGGUGCAAUAAAGAAAAGAUUUUUGAUAGUUUCCUGUUCACAGUAAAAGCUACACCAUGUGUCCCCCCUGCCACUUACACUUGUUCAAUUGUCCUUUGUAAGGACUACCCUCGUGCAUUAAAACCACAGGAAUUCUGACCUUAGAGGCAGUUUCAGACUCAUAACUGUUUUGAUCUAAAUCUGACCCACUUAACAUUAAACAGGUCUUGCCCCUGAGUUAGUUGAACCCCCGCUACUUUGUGGACAAUCUCAUUCCAGUCAUUUAAAUGCUUUCCAGUGAGGGUCGGCGGAAAUCAACCAGUGGAUUUGCCACUGCCAGGACACAGCCAACACUUCUCUGAAGAAUUCGACAGCCAUGUUCUUCGUCAGUUAAGUUUGUAUCGUCUGACAAAGGCUACAGUAGCUGUUGAACCGGUAUGGGCCCAAGCCCAUCAAGCUUAUCUCUUAGGGCCCAAGCCCAUGUGGGGUGCUGACCUAGAAGGGGACAUCCAGUCCUCCCGUUCCCAUCCAAGGAGCCACACGAGAUCAACCCCUCGCGCUAGCCACCAGACCGCUGCUCGCCCCCGUCUGUAGGUACCUCUCUCCCUUGAUUCUACAUGGUAUCAGAGCCUGGACGGCAGGACCUGAGGUGAAGGAGGUGGCGCCGGCCGGCGAGGUGGCGGGAUCCGGCAAGGCGGCGGCGCAGAUCUGAGCCGGCAGCAAGCACAACGAGCUCGUGGUGCGGAGAGGCUGCGCGUGUGAGCGGGAGACGCGGGGGCAGCGCAGGAGCUGCGUGCGUGCGCGCGUGCUGCGUGAGAGGGACCAGGCCGAGUGGAGGCUGCCUGUGCUGGCUGCUGCUGGUGGAACUGCGGGGAAGAGGAGGAGCAGAGGAGGAGCGGUAGAGGGGGAAGAAGGGCAGCUGCUGAUGCCUGCUGGUGCAUCUGGAGUGGGCUGCUACUGGUUGCCCAAGGAGAAGGUUGCAGCUGCUGUUGCCGCUAGUGCUACCACUUGUGUUGGUGGUUUGCUGCUAGAGUUGCUGCUUCUGCUGUAGUUUGCGGAAGAGGAGGUUGCUGCUGGGCAGCGCUGUGCUGAAUUGCUACUGCUGCCUUGCUGUGUCUAGGAGGAAGAAGGGGCUGCUGUUUGGAGAGGAAGGAGGAAUUGUUGGUGUUGUGCUGCUGCUGUUUGCUGAAGGUGAAGGGGGUAACUACUAGAGCUGCUACUGAGUUGUUGGUUUUGCUGCUGCUGAAAGUGGACGAGGUGUUGUGUGUUGGAGCUGCUGCUGCUGAUUGUAGAGAGGGGCUUGAGGGGGAGAGACUCAUGCUCAAGGAGAGGCUCUUCCUAAUGGAGCAGGAGGUCAGCAAGGGAUGCCGUGUCGUGACCAUCGAGGCGCGUUUUGCAGGGGCAGAUGGUGCUGCUGGCAGCGCCAAGAAAGCUGUUGUUCUGGAGGAGAUGAGUGCGGGUGGUGCUCACCAUGCAGUCAUGGAGUACCUAGGGAAUGAUUGACAUGAGAAGGGGUUAUGUGGUGCCAAAGAAGAGUGGUGAGGACAGUGCAGAGAAGGCCAGUGCAGGGUCAGAGAAGGAAUACAACAUGACUGUAGCCAAGGCUGAGAGGCUCAGGGAGGAAUUGGUAAGCCUCAAGAGGAAGGUGGAGGAAAUCCAGGCUGGCAAGGAAAAGGGGGCAACACGUGAGAAGGAUGCUUAGACCGUUAAGUUGAGGGCUGAGUUGGAGGAGCUUCACGCUUUCAUAUCACAGCUCGAAACUGCAGGCUUGAAUGCUUGCUAUGGAGACUGUGCUCACUGGACCUCCACCGAUGAAGAUAACCCGGAAAAGGCAUCUCUUGCUGCUAAUGAGAAUGGUCUAGAAUGGGUUCUAGACUCUGGAGCAUCUAGGCAUGUUGCGGGAACUCCUGCGUGUUCGAGUCUUACAAUAAGCAUCCUCCUUCUCACACGGGCACUAUACAAACCGUCGAUAGCACAAAACAGCGUCAUUGGGGUUGAUUCAGGAGCGAGCGACAAACGAGGAAGACGGUUGGGACUGGCACGAGGCGUAGGGGGCUCUGGUAUAUGAAUCAAGGGGUGCAGCCAGACUUGGUUUGUGCUGCGACCAUGGAGGACAAGGAGAAGCAGGCGAUGAUCCAUCACUGUAGGAUGUGCCAUGUCUUGUUUGACAAGAUGAGUAGAAUAUUUCUGGAUGUUAUGUGUGGAAUAGGCAAGGGCAAGCUGACAUGUGAUGCUUGCGAAUAUGCAAAACACACAGGAGCUGCAUAUGUGAGUAAGGGGCUUAGGAACAUAUCUCCUUUUAUGCUCAUUCAUUCGGAUGUAUGGAAGAGCCCAAUUGUGUCACUAAAUGGAAUGAAGUACUUUGUUACCUUUAUUGACUUC
Long non-coding RNA from Hordeum vulgare subsp. vulgare (domesticated barley), 2819 nucleotides. RefSeq lists it as uncharacterized. Lineage: Eukaryota; Viridiplantae; Streptophyta; Magnoliopsida; Poales; Poaceae. The transcript is spliced from 2 exons. The record is from RefSeq and is a predicted model, not a curated record.